GAUGAACGCUGGCGGCGUGCCUAAUACAUGCAAGUCGAGCGAACAGACGAGGAGCUUGCUCCUCUGACGUUAGCGGCGGAGGGGUGAGUAACACGUGGAUAACCUACCUAUAAGACUGGGAUAACUUCGGGAAACCGGAGCUAAUACCGGAGAAUAUAUUGAACCGCAUGGGUCAAUAGUGAAAGACGGUUUUGCUGUCACUUAUCGAUGGAUCCCGGCCGCAUUAGCUAGUUGGUAAGGUAACGGCUUACCAAGGCAACGAUGCGUAGACGACCUGAGAGGCGGAUAGGCCACCUGGGAACGGAGACACGGUCCAUACUCCUACGGGAGGCAGCAGUAGGGUAUCGUCCGCAAUGGGCGAAAGCCUUACGGAGCAACGCCGAGUGAGUGAUGAAGGUCUUCGGAUCGUAAAACUCUGUUAUGAGGGAAGAACAAAUGUGUAAGUAACUAUGCACGUCUUGACGGUACCUAAUCAGAAAGCCACGGCUAACUACGUG
RNAcentral lists this ribosomal RNA (497 nucleotides) under uncultured bacterium. RNAcentral's name for it is "partial 16S ribosomal RNA". It matches the Rfam family "Bacterial small subunit ribosomal RNA", at positions 28 to 507 of the family's 1533-position model. The record is from RNAcentral.